AGUUCGUUGCAUUCGGUUGGCUUUUCUCAAGUGCGCGGAGAUUGUUGUUGUGCGAAGGUUAGCACUCCACGAGGCCGGUUUGCCCUUAACUAAAUCUCGACUUCGACGUGCGGUUUAUGCGAAAGCGGGUUGUUUCUAGUUGUUUAUAAAGUGUACCGUGGAGCAACCGAGCGCAUCCGGUUGAAUCGGAUCGACUCGGAUUGUGGGCUGCAGUUUUGCGCCAAGUGUUAACCACGCACCGGUGUGAAGUUUUGAAUUUGCCAAUGCAAAAAGUUUCGUUUACAAAAGCAGCAGUGCUGCGAUGGGUUUGAAGUGAGGAACGGGUUUGAAUUGAGACAAGCCACAACCGGUCCUCGGCAACCGGUUCUCCGGUCAACAUCCGGUCAGCUUACCCUUGACAUAGCAGACAUGCGUGACGAAUGAUCGUCGCUGCUAGAUCAGCGAUUGAGUGUGUGUCAGCUCACGUAGUAGUAAAACGCGAUAUGCAUCGCCCGGACGAUUGAUGAUCGCAUUACGCGCCCAUUGAUAGGUCCAUUUCAUUCAGCUGAUUUUGUUAUUAUUUUUGUCGCUCAACCAUCACAGGCUUAAUGACUCGACUUGAUACACCUAAAACUAAAGCCGUUACAAAUGUGAUCGAUGGUUUGUUUGGAUUAAAAAAAAAUAAACAAACACAAAACGGAAACGGAAUGAAGCUGAAAACAGCUGAUUGACCAUCACAUGGCGACCGUUAAAAACCGAUGAAAAGUGAGAUUAGAUUAGUCUCAGUGAAAGUGUCAACUACAGUUUACCAGGUCGUUUUAAAGAAAGCCAUUGGUCAACGAAUUUGUUCAGCGACAACGACCACACACUCACACAACAGGGCGACCAAUUGGAAAAGUUUGCGUGCAAAAUUACACCAAAACGGAUUACUAAAAACAUCGCUGAGUUGAAAGUUAAGUCAGUUGUCUAACUUGAAGAAGAAAAAAACACCAAACCAAAAGACGAAGAAGAAAACUCAUGUAAUUGAAAUUUAAAAUUGGAUGAGCCGCCGAGCAGUUUGUGUAAUAUUAGGUGAUUGGAAUUCUCCACAUUCAAUUCGUUCACAAUCCGGAAGAAUUGAUCAUUGGAGGAGCUGCCUCCUACUGCCUAGUUAUCAAGCGCUUGCAAUCUUAUCUCCGUCGUCGUCGUCGAAGGUUCACCCAGGGGAAGACCCGCAGAGCAGAAAAGUGAGAGAUAAAACGAAGGGAAAAAAUAUACCCGCGGUAAAGUGUUUGUGGGGAGUGAUUUUUUUUCGUUUUGGAACCCAAUCGACACGCAACCGAUUCAGCUGGUUUGUUGAGGUUCCUACAAGUAGGUAGUGAAGAACGACAUCUCUGACGAAGACAACCAGAUAGCAGAAGCAGAUACCCAAUUGUGGCGCCCAAAAGGAAAGGGGAAAGAUCGUCGUGACAUCGGAAGUGAGAAGCAGGCAGGGCACUUCAGUAGAGAGUGUUGCAAAAGUGAUUGUUUUCGUUGUCACAGUGAAGAAAAAACGACGAAUUGAAUCGCACUUUUUUGUCUGUUACUCCUAUUCUCUCUUGCUUCAGUUCAGCUCGACUGGCAGCGGCGACGUGAAUGAGGUAAUACAUUUCGAUGUAAAAUAUGCAUUACUAGCUAAAGGGGGAGUUCAUUGUGAGAGUGUGCCUCUAGUGGUUUUUUUUCUGAUGCUGUUCAAGUUUUGGCUUGGGUCCAAAAGUUGUUGAAAUCACGCACAGAUAGAUGGUUGUGACCGCGGAGCUAAUCCGAGAAGCUGUGUGAUUGGGUGAUAAUCUAUUGGGAGUUACGAGCUAUUGAGCUAGUGUGAAGUUAACGACAAGGUGUAGUAGUUCCUCAAGCGAUAAGCAAUCAGCUGAAGCAACACAAGCGGAAACGGAUCUUGUUUUUAUGAAAGAGAGGUCACAACCGGAAAACCAUAGAAUUACAAAUUGACCUCGAAUAAUUGGUGGGAUUAAAAGAAAAAAAAUCUAAGAAAGAGUAAAAUAGUGAUUGAAGCCGGUCCCCCCUGUGAGAUUUGUGUUGUGAAGAGAGUUGUCUCAGAGUUAUCGGAUUGCAAACUGGUUUCUCGUCAUCCCCUAUCUGUAGAACCAGUAGCAGAACGCGGUUUCGCGCUUUCAUUAAGCAAAGAAACGAGUUUUUUUUGCUGCCGAGGACUGAAACAGAAACGUUCUGUUGAUCUACGAUAAAAAAAAAAGGGAUAACACUACAUCGAAAAGUUCUCUUCAUCUCGUGGACAAAAUCACUGACAGCAACCAACCAGCUCGAAACCGUUUUAUCGCCACCGCUGUUGUUCUCCUCGACCCAAUAAGAAACGCACAUCACAAGCAGCUGAUCCGUUCCGAAGAGACCUGGUCACAUACCCGAAAAAUAAAAAUCACCCAACGACGAAUCAAUUAAGAUGUUCCCAAGCAUGUCUUCUGCGACGUCGUCUUCGGUCACAAAUCUCUCAAAUCAGGCACCGCUACUGCUUCCGACGUCCUCCCGGAACCAUCGCCGGACACCUUCGGAACGCAGUACCUAAAUUGGGUGAAUCUUCCUCUUCUAAACAUAAGAGCAACGAAGAAGUGCGAUUUCGCGAUCACCUCAAAGCACCCAAACGGCCAAGUGCUAAUGUAAUUAGUAAACUUCCCGAAGCCAAUACUGGCCCACGAGGCGUACGGUACGUUUUGGGUGAUCUUCACGACGAAGCUCGCUGAGGCGUAACUGUUAAGCCGAAAUUUCGCGCCUCGAUCGCGUCUCUCCAAGCCACACUGGAACUGGAGCAGCAAACGCAUCGUCAUUAGCACCACACCACAUCACAUCACAGAAAGGCGUCGAAGAUCCACAAUAGAAAAAAAAUAAAGCGCGAGAAAUUUCGAACCGACAACGGCACCCAUUGAUCUUCACCAGCAUCGACUGAAGGAAAAACUUUACGCCCGAAGAUCCGAGGUUGAGGCGCUUCGACGCAUCGACGUAAUCGCGCGCACCAAACGAGGGAAAUCAUUGCUGGCGUCGUCAAAUCGACGCGCACCAAUCUCAUCGCAAAAAAAAAAACAACAUUAAGAGCAAAAGCAGCAAAAACAGCAGAAACGGUACUGGCGUCGCCGUCGUCUCUGGCCAAAAGUUGAGCUUCGAUAUCGCCAAAAUGGAGCACUCGGAUUUAGUUUCCGAGAUGGCUCAGAUCGAGCAUCUGUCGACGCAGGACCGGCUGCACCUGGCGCGGAUGUAAGUUUUGCUUGUUUUGGGGGGUUCUUCCGAAUUUCGCGUCGCGGUGGGACCUCUUUCGAAAAACAAUAAAAAAAACGAAUGAAAAAAGGGGACACAACGCAGGAGGUGCUGCUGCAACGAUCCGGGAAAAUCCGCUGAGAUUUUCGGGGAAGACCCGUUGCUGCGUUUACUUAAGUGUGUGUGUUUUUGUGCUCUUUCUUGUUUUUAAUUUCUCAAAACCGAAGGAAAAGUACCGACCUUCCAAAGCAAUGAAUGGGUGAAUCAGUGAUCUUGGUGAAAUUUUUCAAACCUUAGAGGAGAAGGCAAAUGGAAAAAGAAGUUAAAUUUAUGAUCGAUAUCGCGCCGCCGCCGAAAGUGUUUCAUUUAUAUGGUUCAAUUCGAUAGCUAUAGCGAUCGUGAUCAUCAUCAACAACCGAUGAAGAUGUGAAGAUUGGAAAGAUUGGAGUUUUACUCGCGAACAUCUUUAUUGGGGCCCUCGUCUGGAUUGGUUUGCUGCUGGAAUUAGUUCGACCGGAAGAUGAUUGAUGGAUGAUGUUCUUGGUUUUUGGAAAAGCAGUUUUAAUUGGGAUCUUUAGCAUGAUACGGAU
This is a long non-coding RNA of Uranotaenia lowii, 3809 nucleotides long. RefSeq lists it as uncharacterized. NCBI's taxonomy places the organism in Eukaryota, Metazoa, Arthropoda, Insecta, Diptera, Culicidae. The transcript is spliced from 4 exons. The record is from RefSeq and is a predicted model, not a curated record.